This 2392-nucleotide ribosomal RNA is filed under the name Escherichia coli. Its description in RNAcentral is "partial 23S ribosomal RNA". It matches the Rfam family "Bacterial large subunit ribosomal RNA", at positions 224 to 2640 of the family's 2925-position model. The record is from RNAcentral. Lineage: Bacteria; Pseudomonadati; Pseudomonadota; Gammaproteobacteria; Enterobacterales; Enterobacteriaceae.
AUCAACCGAGAUUCCCCCAGUAGCGGCGAGCGAACGGGGAGCAGCCCAGAGCCUGAAUCAGUGUGUGUGUUAGUGGAAGCGUCUGGAAAGGCGCGCGAUACAGGGUGACAGCCCCGUACACAAAAAUGCACAUGCUGUGAGCUCGAUGAGUAGGGCGGGACACGUGGUAUCCUGUCUGAAUAUGGGGGGACCAUCCUCCAAGGCUAAAUACUCCUGACUGACCGAUAGUGAACCAGUACCGUGAGGGAAAGGCGAAAAGAACCCCGGCGAGGGGAGUGAAAAAGAACCUGAAACCGUGUACGUACAAGCAGUGGGAGCACGCUUAGGCGUGUGACUGCGUACCUUUUGUAUAAUGGGUCAGCGACUUAUAUUCUGUAGCAAGGUUAACCGAAUAGGGGAGCCGAAGGGAAACCGAGUCUUAACUGGGCGUUAAGUUGCAGGGUAUAGACCCGAAACCCGGUGAUCUAGCCAUGGGCAGGUUGAAGGUUGGGUAACACUAACUGGAGGACCGAACCGACUAAUGUUGAAAAAUUAGCGGAUGACUUGUGGCUGGGGGUGAAAGGCCAAUCAAACCGGGAGAUAGCUGGUUCUCCCCGAAAGCUAUUUAGGUAGCGCCUCGUGAAUUCAUCUCCGGGGGUAGAGCACUGUUUCGGCAAGGGGGUCAUCCCGACUUACCAACCCGAUGCAAACUGCGAAUACCGGAGAAUGUUAUCACGGGAGACACACGGCGGGUGCUAACGUCCGUCGUGAAGAGGGAAACAACCCAGACCGCCAGCUAAGGUCCCAAAGUCAUGGUUAAGUGGGAAACGAUGUGGGAAGGCCCAGACAGCCAGGAUGUUGGCUUAGAAGCAGCCAUCAUUUAAAGAAAGCGUAAUAGCUCACUGGUCGAGUCGGCCUGCGCGGAAGAUGUAACGGGGCUAAACCAUGCACCGAAGCUGCGGCAGCGACGCUUAUGCGUUGUUGGGUAGGGGAGCGUUCUGUAAGCCUGUGAAGGUGUACUGUGAGGUAUGCUGGAGGUAUCAGAAGUGCGAAUGCUGACAUAAGUAACGAUAAAGCGGGUGAAAAGCCCGCUCGCCGGAAGACCAAGGGUUCCUGUCCAACGUUAAUCGGGGCAGGGUGAGUCGACCCCUAAGGCGAGGCCGAAAGGCGUAGUCGAUGGGAAACAGGUUAAUAUUCCUGUACUUGGUGUUACUGCGAAGGGGGGACGGAGAAGGCUAUGUUGGCCGGGCGACGGUUGUCCCGGUUUAAGCGUGUAGGCUGGUUUUCCAGGCAAAUCCGGAAAAUCAAGGCUGAGGCGUGAUGACGAGGCACUACGGUGCUGAAGCAACAAAUGCCCUGCUUCCAGGAAAAGCCUCUAAGCAUCAGGUAACAUCAAAUCGUACCCCAAACCGACACAGGUGGUCAGGUAGAGAAUACCAAGGCGCUUGAGAGAACUCGGGUGAAGGAACUAGGCAAAAUGGUGCCGUAACUUCGGGAGAAGGCACGCUGAUAUGUAGGUGAAGUCCCUCGCGGAUGGAGCUGAAAUCAGUCGAAGAUACCAGCUGGCUGCAACUGUUUAUUAAAAACACAGCACUGUGCAAACACGAAAGUGGACGUAUACGGUGUGACGCCUGCCCGGUGCCGGAAGGUUAAUUGAUGGGGUCAGCGCAAGCGAAGCUCUUGAUCGAAGCCCCGGUAAACGGCGGCCGUAACUAUAACGGUCCUAAGGUAGCGAAAUUCCUUGUCGGGUAAGUUCCGACCUGCACGAAUGGCGUAAUGAUGGCCAGGCUGUCUCCACCCGAGACUCAGUGAAAUUGAACUCGCUGUGAAGAUGCAGUGUACCCGCGGCAAGACGGAAAGACCCCGUGAACCUUUACUAUAGCUUGACACUGAACAUUGAGCCUUGAUGUGUAGGAUAGGUGGGAGGCUUUGAAGUGUGGACGCCAGUCUGCAUGGAGCCGACCUUGAAAUACCACCCUUUAAUGUUUGAUGUUCUAACGUGGACCCGUAAUCCGGGUUGCGGACAGUGUCUGGUGGGUAGUUUGACUGGGGCGGUCUCCUCCUAAAGAGUAACGGAGGAGCACGAAGGUUGGCUAAUCCUGGUCGGACAUCAGGAGGUUAGUGCAAUGGCAUAAGCCAGCUUGACUGCGAGCGUGACGGCGCGAGCAGGUGCGAAAGCAGGUCAUAGUGAUCCGGUGGUUCUGAAUGGAAGGGCCAUCGCUCAACGGAUAAAAGGUACUCCGGGGAUAACAGGCUGAUACCGCCCAAGAGUUCAUAUCGACGGCGGUGUUUGGCACCUCGAUGUCGGCUCAUCACAUCCUGGGGCUGAAGUAGGUCCCAAGGGUAUGGCUGUUCGCCAUUUAAAGUGGUACGCGAGCUGGGUUUAGAACGUCGUGAGACAGUUCGGUCCCUA